RNAcentral lists this ribosomal RNA (347 nucleotides) under uncultured bacterium. Its description in RNAcentral is "bacterial SSU rRNA". It matches the Rfam family "Bacterial small subunit ribosomal RNA", at positions 917 to 1269 of the family's 1533-position model. The record is from RNAcentral.
GGGCCCGCACAAGCGGUGGAGCAUGUGGUUUAAUUCGAUGCAACGCGAAGAACCUUACCAAGGCUUGACAUACUACAGAUUUCUUUGAAAAAAGGAAAGUGCCUUCGGGAAUGUAGAUACAGGUGGUGCAUGGCUGUCGUCAGCUCGUGUCGUGAGAUGUUGGGUUAAGUCCCGCAACGAGCGCAACCCUUAUUUUUAGUUGCUAAUUUAUAGGUUUUCUAGAAAGACUGCCGGUGACAAACCGGAGGAAGGUGAGGAUGACGUCAAGUCAGCAUGCCCCUUAUGCCUUGGCUACACACGUGCUACAAUGGUUAAGACAAAGAGUUGCGAGCUCGCGAGAGUCAGCU